This 69-nucleotide transfer RNA is filed under the name Ictidomys tridecemlineatus (thirteen-lined ground squirrel). RNAcentral describes it as "Spermophilus tridecemlineatus (thirteen-lined ground squirrel) tRNA". It matches the Rfam family "tRNA". From Rfam's summary of the family: Transfer RNA (tRNA) molecules are approximately 80 nucleotides in length. The record is from Rfam by way of RNAcentral. Lineage: Eukaryota; Metazoa; Chordata; Mammalia; Rodentia; Sciuridae.
GGGGCUGGGGCUCAGUGGUAGAGCACUCGCCUGGCAUGUGUGAGGCCCUGGGUUCAAUUCUCAGCACCA